Molecule: ribosomal RNA, 253 nt
Filed under: uncultured bacterium
Lineage: Bacteria
Description: partial 16S ribosomal RNA
Rfam family: Bacterial small subunit ribosomal RNA
Source: RNAcentral
UACAGAGGUGCCAAGCGUUAGGCGGAAUCACUGGGCUUAAAGCGUGUGUAGGCGGGUCGUUAAGUGCCUUGUGAAAUCCCACGGCUCAACCGUGGAACUGCUGGGCAUACUGCCGAUCUUGAGCCAGCUAGGGGCAACCGGAACAAACGGUGGAGCGGUGAAAUGCGUAGAUAUCGCUUGGAACGCCAAUGGUGAAAACAGGUUGCUGGGGCUGUGCUGACGCUGAGACACGAAAGCCAGGGGAGCGAACGGG